Molecule: long non-coding RNA, 2849 nt
Filed under: Marmota monax (woodchuck)
Lineage: Eukaryota; Metazoa; Chordata; Mammalia; Rodentia; Sciuridae
Source: RNAcentral
UUCUGAAGAUACCUUUAUUUUGAAUACAAAAAUUAGGAGUUGUACUCCCUGCACACAACAGAAGUUCUGGAAAAUAUAGGUAAGGUAUUCUGUUUCCUUUUUUCUUUAUAAAAAUAUAGUCUGGCAGCAAGCUCUGGUGAGAUUGUUUUGGAUGUUCACAAAAUUCCCUGGGUUCUCUUUCUGUCCUUACAGAGUAUGUUAAGAGAACUACUGAUGUUCCAGAUGGAACUUGUGUGGCCUAGGCAGCAAAAAGAGACAAGCAAAGAAAAAGUGACUGCCCCAGGGGUGGGCAGCAGAAAGAGGGCUGCACCAGCCCCGUCUGACUCCUUGUAAAGCAGCUUCUGUGGAAGACCACACAAUAGUUUCUAUUUAUGUUUCAAAGACAACUAGUGUGUCAUAAACUCAUCUAAAUGGACUCCCACCUGUGAGGUUCUAGAAUAAAAAAAACAAUUGAAUAACCAGUACCGCAGGUGCAAAUAUUACUCUCAUACAAUCACCAACAUUUAUUUUUAGAAAAUUGCAUUGCUUUGGUGUUUUAGGGAAACAUUUAUAAAUCACUAUGUUAAUAAAUUCUAAUAUAACCAGAAGAAAAACAGCUAGUGUGUUCAGCUCCACUAACACUAACACAGAGAUGUUUAUGGCUCCAAAACCAAAAAGACCUGCAGACAGACAGGAAGGAAAUUAAGGUAUUGCUGAUUCAUUUGUACCAACUGAUUCAAUUUAUGAAUUUACAUUCAUUAUAUUAUUCUGCUUAAUAACUUUAUGUUGACAUGUAUAAGCACUGGUUCCUAAACUAUGUAUCUUUCUCUUAAGAAAAAUGCAAAGGGUGGAAAGGAAAGAGGCUUAUAUUUUUGUGCUUUGAUUCACUAAGCAUUAGAGAAAGAAAGAAAAUACAGCAUGAAGCAAAAACGUAAUCUGAUUUGAAGUUGGUAUUCUCUGCCUAGCAAUUCCAACUAGCAAAGCAAUCUACUGACUCAAAAUAGUACCCUUCUUAAAGAGGAAACUGGAAUUUGUGUACAUGUGGGUAUUUAUGUAUGUAUUAUGUAUCUACAUAUGUAUCUAUAUAUGUAUAUAUAUGUAUAGUAUAUUCAUUUAAAAUAUAGGCAUAUGUUAUGCACAGGUGUCUUGAACAUCUCAUUUAACAUCUCAAACAUGUAUUUCCUUCUAAAAUAGGUGCUUGUAUUUUAGGUGGCUUUAUUUGUUUGCUUUACUUUUGCUAAAGAACACUACCCACUCCUUGAGGCAAAUCCUUCCAUCAGGAGGAGACUGCUCAGUAUUUUAUGUAGGGGAAACCUCGAAAUGUUUAUCAUCACAGGAAUGAAUUAGUUCAUCAAACUAUUUCCAUUGAAAAUAUUUGAUCAACUUAGUCUCAUACAAUCAUUUUAAUCUCAGUCAUUCUAAUAUUUGAAUUUAGUAAUUGCUGAGUCUACUAUAUUUUAUAAAAGUACCAUUGAACAUAUUAUAGCAAAUUAAAUAUUUUUCUAAUUGAAUAGCUAUUUUGUCAAUUUGUAUCUAUUUAUCAGCUAUAAUACAUGAUAAGACAUUAACUUAUAUAUGUUAUAUAAAACUGACCGCAGAGGUCCCCAAGCUUCAGCGGGAGCACACAUUUGUAUUCUCAAUGCUUGCAACAGUUGGUGGGCAAUUAUAAUCUCAUGUAGUAAGUUUUGCAACAGAAGCAAACGAUCUGAACCUUGAUUUUCUGAAAUAUAAUUUGAGUAGGGAAGGUUGAGGGGAAAUAUUUAGACAUGGCCAAACUCAACAUCUUGGUUCCACAAAAGUGAGUAAACACACACACACAUACACACACACACACACACACUUUCACUUGGGCCUGCUACUCUAACACAACUGAAGUGGAUGAUGAUGAUUAUUUUUCCUAAACUAAUUACUUUUUGGAGUUCCUUAGUGGAAUAGGUAUGAGAGUUACACUCAGUCUUUUAAAAGGGCUUUGGAUUCUUCUCAGCUCUUCAAAAAAUAUGUUUACACAAUUGUUUUGAAUAAAUAUUAAAUCAAUGUACUAUGCUAGUUUCUAAGAGAUGAAAACUAAAAAUCAUUUAAGUGCAAAUAUUUUAUUCUUCUGACUUUGGAAGAGUAACCAGGUCUUUUUUAAAGCUGAUAUGCAGCAUGGAGUAUGUGUGAGUGAGCAUAUGUACCUGAACAUGCAUACCUGUGGUAGGGGUUGUGGGGAGGAGGAGGUUUAUAUUUCCUGUUAUUUUUUUUUUAAAUCCCUUUAAAAAUGUGGUAUACUUGCAGAAGCUAUUGAUGUUUCUUGCACCUCUCAUUUUAAAAGAAUGUAGAGCUCCUGCUUCCUGAAAAAGAAAAAGUUCUAGGAAUGCUUUCUAACAUCUUUGAAGAUGCUUCAAUCUGGCCACUGGAUUAGUUUUUAUUUGAGGGAGGCAGUACCUGCUGUGGACGCCUACAAGGCUGGACAGAUGGAGAGGAGCAGACGUAGACUGGGUGAUUUGGACAUGGUGCCUCGCUGUUAAAAUGAGCCCUUCACACUUCUGUGAUCAGGGUACUGUGAGAAUGCAAAGUCAGUAUAUGUGAAGUGCGCACCCCAGUGAGUGUCCUGAAAGUACAAGCAACCACUAUCAUUUAGUCAUUGAAAAAUACCUUGUUAGUUAUCCCUCUUUCAUUAAUUGACUUUGUUUAAUUAAAAUCAACUGAAGUAUAAGAAAAGAAGCAAACUUCUAGUAUGAAAAGGAAAUGACCAUUGCAACAGGCCCCAUCCAUUUCCACAAUGUUAUUUACAAAUAUUCCUUAAAAUUUCAAGUAAUUUUUUUUCUUACCCAGGGUGUAAUUCAGAAAGUAAUGAAUAUUAAAUAGAUAUAACUGACAAAAUAUUAGCU